CUGGCAAUGAUGAUUGGCGCAGGGGUACGGACCUCAGCUGUAGAAUGGGAGCUGAGUGUGGCCGUUUCUCACUCUGCUUGCGUGUAGUGGGCUGUUUGAGGGACGUCCACACGAGAAAAACGCCUUGAUCUGAGCCAG
This is a small nucleolar RNA of Amblyraja radiata (thorny skate), 138 nucleotides long. RefSeq annotates it as small nucleolar RNA SNORD94. NCBI's taxonomy places the organism in Eukaryota, Metazoa, Chordata, Chondrichthyes, Rajiformes, Rajidae. The transcript has a single exon. The record is from RefSeq and is a predicted model, not a curated record.